Non-coding RNA from Prunus avium (sweet cherry), 611 nucleotides. The record is from RefSeq and is a predicted model, not a curated record. Lineage: Eukaryota; Viridiplantae; Streptophyta; Magnoliopsida; Rosales; Rosaceae.
AGCAGGUCCCAGAUGGAUGCAACCCCUGCAUUGAGCAGAGGCAGAUAUUAACCCAACAAGAUCUUGCCAAAGUUUUGAAUCAGUUGGUUGAGCAGAUUCCCUUCCUUUACUGUUCAUACGCACAGUAUUACAAGCCAUAUGUGCUUUUCCUGCACUGGCAACUUUCAGUAUCCGAAGCAUUUUUCUUGCCACUUCUCCUUGACCUGGCUUGGUGCAUGAGUUGUGAUGAUCAGCAGCAGAGUUUGACAUGGAGAAGAAAGGAAGAAAGGAAGAAAGAAACAGAGAAGAGGCAGAGUAAUAGGAAAUGGAAAUUACAAAGAGGAGAGGGAGGGAACGUGGGAGGAGGAAGUAACGGCCUGUUGUUAGUGUUACAGAGUUUGUAAAUUUAAUUCGUUUUUAUUUUAUUUAAUGGGUUUAGAAUUUAAAGUGGGAGCGGAUUUGUGAUGUUGUUGAAAAUCAUACUAUGUGACGUGGGAAAAUCAUCAUGAUAUUCCCUCCCUCACUCCCAUUCACAGUCAUCGACUUUCUGUGUGAGAGUGAGAGAGAGAAUUGGCCAUGUGACGAAUAGUGUGGGUUGAUAAUUUAAUUGAUAUUUAUAUGUGGUUCAUUAA